Molecule: long non-coding RNA, 3412 nt
Organism: Dermacentor andersoni
Lineage: Eukaryota; Metazoa; Arthropoda; Arachnida; Ixodida; Ixodidae
Source: RefSeq, a predicted model, not a curated record
CAACACUUUGAAAUUGAACCUUCAGGCCAUGCGUUCACACGCGCCAGUGCGUUCCGACAGGCUGCGCAGUCCUUUGAAGAAGUGAGAGGCAGCAAUUUUUUGUUGUUGUUGCUUUUGCGUAACAAAUGUUGAAGGACGAAUAUAUAUAAUGACGGAAUAUAUACCAGCUAUACAAAAGCGAUGACGGCGGUUCAUCACACGGGGAAAAACAGCAACCAUCAUAUACAGACGUCAGUGACAGUUCAUCUGGCAGUUAGAUCACCUUCCGGCUAAAGGAUGGUUCUGUGUUUUGUUCUGGACUGAUAGAACUCUAGUAAUUAGAGUGAAUAAUGAAAUCAGAAUCAAAUUUAUUUUCGCCAUAUAUGCGGGUGCGCAUGCAACGACCACUAUUAUGAUAGCAAGAGUACGUGGAGACCAGUGUGCAAGUCGCAAGAAGAAGACAUAUCGCGUAAGUAUUACAUUUGCUUUACCAAAAAGCACAAGAUUUCAAUACUUCAAAAACGGAUAUGUUUGCAACACUAUUGUGUCGUUCAUUAUUGCUUUCUUCUUUUGUAGUUAAACUAUCGAGAAAAUAACUAUUUAACGGGGAACAAAAUUUAAUCAAGUGGAUAUUGCAUUAGACAGUUCUCGUAAUCGUCAUCUGAACUGCAGAAAGAGUCAAGCAAAAUUGUUCGCGAACGGCGCGUUAAUUGUAAACGGCCCUGUCGCAGUACAGAAAAAAUCGUCAAACGAACUAAGCGCAGGCGACUCGUGGACUGUACAGUUCUAGGAAACAUUUCAGUUGAAUGUUUUCACUGGGGAGGGUGAAAGAAGCGAUUAUACGAAGGCGAAUUGUGAAGAGAUGUCAAAAUCUGCAAUUUUUCUAGCUAUUGUCGAUUCGUCUAAGAAUAAUUAAGGCUGCAUGCCAAUCAAUGUAAAUCAUAAAAUAGAGCAUUUCUGCUGUCGACGUGGAUUUGAUUGGGAAGAACUAGAGUUAGAUCAAAUUCUUCCAAUUUUCGCUCAAUUAACUAAUGACGUUCAACAAUCAAGCAGUUAAGAAUUAAUAAAUUCAUGGUAUAUCAUGAGUGUUUUUUCAAGCGCCGUCUCCUGUGAAGCAUAUCUACCAUUUUCGUGCAAAGCUCUCUGGAAAGCGUAUUGACUGUGUAUGCAUGCAUGCAUCUAUCGAACUUCGUGCACAUAUAGACGUGAUGCUUUGACGAUAAAUACUUAUUAAAAUUCUAAUUAUUUAUUUCUGCCUUGUAAAGGUACAGACAGCAGAGGCGCAGAAAAAGCUGUCAGAUACAGAUUGACAAAGCCGCAGCCCCCUUUCGCUUGGCAGAGCCUUCACAGCGACACUUUUAAAACAAAGACAAUUGCACCCGGUAAUAACAGGUAUACAAUACUGAGCAAGUACAAAAGGAAACCAAUCAAGAUUAUACGAUAUUUGUACAAUACUCCCAAACAAGAAAACAGAACCUACAUGCUAACGUACAUAGCACCCAAAGUACUGUUCGACACGUUGAAGAAGUCAAAAUUAUUGUUCACAUAAGGUAUAUACAUAUUCGUAUAGCGCUACCAAUCCCUGCAAAAUAUAGAACGCAGAUUUUCAUUACACACACGCACGCACGCACGUGCACAGCACACACACCAAAAGGAAACGGCAACGCGCUCACAGGAAGCGCCUGAAAAACGAAAAAAAAAAAAAGGAAAAGUGUGGGGAACCGAGGUCGCCUUGGGCUGUCGCCUCUCCCUCUCCCAGAAGGAAUGAAGAGGUUCUUGGAAAGCAGGGACGGGCGAUUCUCUCUGUCAGCAUCAGCUCCCACCAGCGAGGACGGGGCGAGAAAGCGAAACGGGACUUUCCUUGCUGUCUAUUUUUUCUUCGUCAGGCCAACGCCGCUUGCUUGCAGGGGCGCAGGCGAGUUCCCGCCAAAUGGCGCGGGUGCGUGAGUUGCCGCCAAAUGCUAGCUCUGGAUGCCAGCUCGUUCCGUGUCUCAUGGUAGACUAGUUGGUGCAUUUCAGUUAUCAUGGACUGCGCAUAUAAACGCAAGCUACACAAAAGUGACAUGGACAAGAACAGCGCAAGCCCUUUACAUGCAGUGGAGCCGCCGUAUCUCGCCGUUCAAGAUAUGCGUACUCGAAAAAAAAAAAAAAAGAGGCUUUACAUGAGAACGGAUCAAGCGUUCGAGAGUUGGGACAGGGAAAUGUGAGACGUACGUAUGUAUAUAUUUCUAAUAUUAUUUUUUCGUCUUGUAUUCUCGUUAAUUUUUCUCUAGGAAACACUGGAACGACACUGCUUAAAUUGAAGCACAGUGUGCGAAUGACCUGCUACGCUCGGAACUGUUAUCACCAUUCGGGAAGAAAUUGGAUGAAAAAACAUAACUGUAAAUACCUGUAUGAUAUGCGUCUGGUGCAUUGCAGGUAAGAAUGGAUUGUGUGUGGCGCGCUUCCCCGCAUGUGGGCUAGAGUAGAUCUAGGAACAUCAGACAAGAAGACACGUAUGUGAAACCCUGCGGAUAGCCCAUAUGUAAGUUCUUCCUCAAUUUUUCUUUUGUUGCAUUUUCGUAGUUUACGUGUAAUACUUUGUCACCGCGGUCUCGACGUUAUGUAUACCUAUACAUUUGUCUCGUGGCAGCCUGCGUGCUAUUUUGUUUGUGCAACUAUGUGUUGUAUUCAUUUAUCGAGCUGCUUGGAUGGUUUUUUUUUUUUCACUGAUAUUCCGACCAAAGUCGAUAAACCUAUCCUUCCUGUCCUCAUGUUUCCUUGGGCGGCUCUAAAGCAUAUCUUAGAGGAAUAUUUAGCUUCAGAUUCCCGCAUCGAACAGAUGGUGAGUGGCAUGCUGUGUUUUCUAUUUAGAGAAACUAUCUAUUCAUGUUUAAUUUUUGGUUUAUUUUCAUUUUGCCAUUCAUACAAUACCGCAGCCAUAUGCCGUUCUGUCAUAGAACGUUGUUUCUAGAUAUAUUUGUUUUAUGUGGUUAAAACAUUUAAAACGAGAGCGAUCAUAUUUCUUACCCUGACCAUUACUUUUUACAGACCGCGAUAACCACGUAUUUGGAUGUCUGGUUUAACUCUACAUGCGCUGGUUCGUGCAGGUGAACUUUUUUUCCAGAUACGGAGGAACGGACACCGGUCAUGCCGUGCGCACUCUUCUGCAGGGCAUACUUACAAAUGAAGCUGCACUGCAGUUCAGCUGGAAAGGGUCGCAGGGGAGGAAGCACGCCUUCGUGAAGCUCAUGGCCAUCACGAAUAUAACAUCUGUGAGGAGCACGUUCCCUGACGCUUCACUAGCAUCAGUGGCUGGAGUCGCAAAACGCCGGUUGGUUGGAGCAGCUGACAGGGAUGGAGGCCGGAAUGAAAGAAGGCGCCGUGACCCUGCUUCAAGCCCACCAAAUAUGAACUAGUGUUUGAAACUUGUGAUCGUGUCGGUGUACAUAUA